Molecule: ribosomal RNA, 460 nt
Filed under: uncultured bacterium
Lineage: Bacteria
Description: partial 16S ribosomal RNA
Rfam family: Bacterial small subunit ribosomal RNA
Source: RNAcentral
CCUACGGGCGGCUGCAGUGAGGAAUAUUGGUCAAUGGGCGAGAGCCUGAACCAGCCAAGCCGCGUGAAGGAUGACGGCCCUACGGGUUGUAAACUUCUUUUGUCAGGGAGCAAUUGGGUCCACGCGUGCGCUUAGCGAGAGUACCUGAAGAAAAAGAAUGGGCUAACUCCGUGCCAGCAGCCGCGGUAAUCCGGAGGAUGCGAGCGUUACCCGGAUUUAUUGGGUUUAAAGGUUGCGUAGGCGGAAGAUAAGGUCAGCGGUAAAAAUUCGGGGCUCAACCCCGGCGUGCCGUUGAAACUGGUGUUCUGGAGUGGGCGAGAAGUAUGCGGAAUGCGUGGUGUAGCGGUGAAAUGCAUAGAUAUCACGCAGAACUCCGAUUGCGAAGGCAGCAUACCGGCGCCCAACUGACGCUGAGGCACGAAAGCGUGGGUAGCGAACAGGAUUAGAUACCCUAGUAGUC